GAAACAUUGUAGAGAAGAAUAAAUGAUUCGAGAAGCUCCGGCUAUUAUGACAUAGAGAGCCACAGUUGCAUGCAGUUGCUCGAGUCUUCAGGAUUCUCCUGUCUGAAAGAUGAAAUUCUGUUUUUGAUUGUCCUAGUGAUUAAAGAAAGGACCAAAUCAGGCGCUCUAAAAGAUCCGCGAUGAAGACGAUUAUUCCGUUCUCGCCAAGUUUCAUAGAUAACUAGCUGCCAAGCAAGGCGAACCAGGAAAACGUGAUGGAUUGUUCCAGCAAAGUUGACGAUGGAGUGAGCGGUGUCAUGUCAUCCCAAGAAUCUGAAGCCGUGAGACCGAGCCUCGACAAUAAAGGCCUCCAGAUGUUUCUGGUGAAUGUACAUCCAAAGAAUAAAUGAUUCCGAGACUCUUGAUGGUUGUUGCAUAGCAGGCAGGAGGGGUCUGUUGCUAGUCCCCACGAGAUCAAUCGGUCCCUAGUUGGACAUCGAUCGAGUAAAAAUAACCACAGAGUUCCAGACUGGGUGAUCAAGGGAGUCCGAUAAGGUGAUAGAUGAGAGAUGGACAUGAACUUGCUCCUUCUGCCGAGUACGGAGCUGGUGAGAGGAUCCAAGAAUUGCCUGUUCCAUAGAGUUGAUACGGUUGAGGAGAGGGAGAUGCCUGACUGCCGUGGCUCAAGAGAGCCAAUGUGAUGAAUUAAGGGACCAAAUGGCAACCAUGGAGAAUGCCAGAAGCUUAUAGAGUAGCCAUUACCCGGAGUAACUUUUUGAAAAGCCAAGUGAGCUUGAACAUACAAGA
Long non-coding RNA from Brassica oleracea var. oleracea, 786 nucleotides. RefSeq lists it as uncharacterized. The transcript has 3 exons. The record is from RefSeq and is a predicted model, not a curated record. NCBI's taxonomy places the organism in Eukaryota, Viridiplantae, Streptophyta, Magnoliopsida, Brassicales, Brassicaceae.